This 2205-nucleotide ribosomal RNA is filed under the name Triticum aestivum (bread wheat). RNAcentral describes it as "partial small subunit ribosomal RNA". Lineage: Eukaryota; Viridiplantae; Streptophyta; Magnoliopsida; Poales; Poaceae. The record is from RNAcentral.
AUGGCGGACGACGACGCCGCCGCGAGCCUGAGCCAGCCCUCCCCCGCGAAGGGCGACAUCUCUCUAGAAAAUGGGGAUGAGAAAAGUAAGCAGUGCCAACCAUUCUUCUCCAUGUGCCAACCGCUUCAGGCUGUUAGCUAUUCAAAUUCCUGGGAUAGUGUUUGUGCUCCUGCAGCAACAGAACCUUGUCAAACUAGCGGCUUGGAUUCAGUGGAUGAUGAAUACAUGCCAAGUGCACCUUCUUUUCCUGAUAGCCAGCAGCCCCAUUCUGAGAGCAUUUCUGCUGUAGUAGAUGAAUCAAACAAGUUAUGUUCACCACCUUCACCUACGGAUAAGGAAUGUGAUGUGGAACAACUUCAGCUGGAAUCUGAGGAAUUAUUGGAUGACUCAGGUGUGCUAGAUGGGGAAAUAAGGCAGCAGUCAGAACCCCUUACCACAGAUGAACCCAGUUCUGUUGAUGAAAUCAAAAAAUGGGGGGCGGAUACUAAGCAGCACUCACCACCCCUUCAUAACACUAAGCAUUGGAGCUCAAAUCGUGCCCUUGAACCUUCUGACAAUGAAAAUAAGCCGCUCUCCUUGUUUUUUUCUCGCUUCAGACAACCCCAGUCAGUGGGAGCUGGUCUUCGGAAUAUGGGGAACACAUGCUUCUUAAAUGCAACUCUUCAGUGCAUAACUCAUACUGUCCCACUUUUUAAGAAGCUCCGCUGCACUGACCACUCUACUCCAUGCUCAUAUGAUGAAGAUGGGUUCUGUUCCUUUUGCGCCCUUAAAGAACACAUUGAAGAAUCAAUUCGAAGGUCUGGAGCUGUUUUAGUGCCAGUGAGGUUCAAAGAUAAUUUAAGCAAAUUAUCGUCAGAUUUUAGACCAGGACAGCAAGAGGAUGCACAUGAGUUCCUUCGUUGCUUGCUCGAUAAUUUGCACAAAUGCACCCUUGAUCCCAAGUCAAAGGGGAAGCUCUCAUCUUUUGAUGAGGAAAGUAUUGUCAAACAGGUGUUUGGUGGUCGGCUUAAAAGCCUGUUGACAUGCCGUGAUUGUGGUCACUGUUCGGAGACAUUUGAGCCCUUCCUGGAUCUCAGCUUGGAGAUUGAUCAGGUUGAUGACCUUGUUGCUGCUUUGGAAUCUUUUACCAAGGUGGAGCAAGUUGGUGACGAUGAGAACAAGCUCACCUGUGAAAGUUGUAAAGUUCAAGUUUGUAAGGAUAAGCGGCUUGUGCUUGAUAAAGCACCUGAUGUCAUUGCAUUUCAACUCAAGCGCUUCACCACCCUUGACAAUUCCAUUGAAAAGAUUGACAAACAUGUGGCAUACCCAUCAGAACUUGAUUUGAAGCCUUUCCACAAUAAUCCAGACAAGGAGGAACUAAUGUAUGAUCUUUAUGGCGUUGUUGAGCAUUCUGGCUUACCUAACUAUGGCCAUUAUGUGUGCACUAUUCGUUCUUCACCAAGCACCUGGCACUUGAUGAAUGACUCAAAUGUUGAUUCUAUUACUGAGACGUGUGCACUAAACCAGGAAGCAUAUAUACUCUUCUAUGUUAGGCAGGGCAUGUUUCCGUGGUUCUCAAGUUUGCUAGAGGAGGCCAGGAGUGGUGCAUCUCCUGUGUCAGUUUUGGAUAAUAUAGAUGCAGACUGUUUAACUUCCAGUAAUAGAAGUCCUGGUGAUAAGUUUGAGAUUGGUGAAACAAGUGAAUGCAAAACAUCUCUCCUUGCUGAGGAACCAACUAAGAGAUCUUCAGUUGAUGCUUCCAACAGCACAAAGAAAAAAGAAGAAACCACUCCACUCAGAGCAUCUUUCCAAGAUGAUGUGGGGAGGAGGCAUGCCCCUAGUGCUUCAGAAAUCACCAAUCUGGAGAGACCAUCAACUCCACCUCCAUGUCCCAAGCGAACGAUCUCUGUUGAUGACUUUGAGGUGUUUAAGUUUGAGGAAUUUGAUGACAAGGACACUCCUCUGAUGCCAAAGUCUGAGCAUCAACUGAAGGUGAAGAAACCGAAGGCUGCUUCUGCAUCUAAAUCUGUGAAGGGCCCUAGUGUGGACAAAAACGCAACACGGUUGAUGAGGGGCAUGCCAUCUGCACGAAGAAAAGGCCUGCUGGACUGCAUGAUCUCACAGCAGAAUGUUGCGCAGGAGCCCCGCAGGGGCUCUCGAAGUGACCCUCUGGGCAAAAAGAAGAGGAAGCUGGACACCAACUCGGUGGCAGUUCUUCAGUACUAA